Molecule: ribosomal RNA, 284 nt
Filed under: Campylobacter jejuni
Lineage: Bacteria; Pseudomonadati; Campylobacterota; Epsilonproteobacteria; Campylobacterales; Campylobacteraceae
Description: partial 23S ribosomal RNA
Rfam family: Bacterial large subunit ribosomal RNA
Source: RNAcentral
AAAAAAGGUAAGCUACUAAGAGCGAAUGGUGGAUGCCUUGACUGGUAAAGGCGAUGAAGGACGUACUAGACUGCGAUAAGCUACGGGGAGCUGUCAAGAAGCUUUGAUCCGUAGAUUUCCGAAUGGGGCAACCCAAUGUAUAGAGAUAUGCAUUACCUAUAUAGGAGCGAACGAGGGGAAUUGAAACAUCUUAGUACCCUCAGGAAAAGAAAUCAAUAGAGAUUGCGUCAGUAGCGGCGAGCGAAAGCGCAAGAGGGCAAACCCAGUGCUUGCACUGGGGGUUG